Molecule: ribosomal RNA, 433 nt
Filed under: uncultured bacterium
Lineage: Bacteria
Description: partial 16S ribosomal RNA
Rfam family: Bacterial small subunit ribosomal RNA
Source: RNAcentral
AACGAACGCUGGCGGCAUGCCUAACACAUGCAAGUCGAACGAGACCUUCGGGUCUAGUGGCGCACGGGUGCGUAACGCGUGGGAACCUGCCCUUAGGUUCGGAAUAACUCCCCGAAAGGGGUGCUAAUACCGGAUAAUGUCUUCGGACCAAAGAUUUAUCGCCUUUGGAUGGGCCCGCGUUGGAUUAGAUAGUUGGUAGGGUAAAAGCCUACCAAGGCGACGAUCCAUAGCUGGUCUGAGAGGAUGAUCAGCCACACUGGGACUGAGACACGGCCCAGACUCCGACGGGAGGCAGCAGUGGGGAAUAUUGGACAAUGGGCUAAAGCCGGAUCCAGCAAUGCCGCGUGAGGGAUGAAGGCCUGAGGGUUGUAAAGCUCUUUUACCCGGGAUGAUAAUGACAGUACCGGGAGAAUAAGCUCGGGCUAACUCCGUG